GGGGAAUUUUGGACAAUGGGCGCAAGCCUGAUCCAGCCAUGCCGCGUGUCUGAAGAAGGCCUUCGGGUUGUAAAGGACUUUUGUCAGGGAAGAAAAGGCUGCUGCUAAUAUCGACAGCUGAUGACGGUACCUGAAGAAUAAGCACCGGCUAACUACGUGCCAGCAGCCGCGGUAAUACGUAGGGUGCGAGCGUUAAUCGGAAUUACUGGGCGUAAAGCGAGCGCAGACGGUUACUUAAGCAGGAUGUGAAAUCCCCGGGCUCAACCUGGGAACUGCGUUCUGAACUGGGUGACUAGAGUGUGUCAGAGGGAGGUAGAAUUCCACGUGUAGCAGUGAAAUGCGUAGAGAUGUGGAGGAAUACCGAUGGCGAAGGCAGCCUCCUGGGAUGACACUGACGUUCAUGCUCGAAAGCGUGGGUAGCAAACAGGAUUAGAUACCCUGGUAGUCCACGCCCUAAACGAUGUCAAUUAGCUGUUGGGCAACUUGAUUGCUUAGUAGCGUAGCUAACGCGUGAAAUUGACCGCCUGGGGAGUACGGUCGCAAGAUUA
RNAcentral lists this ribosomal RNA (548 nucleotides) under uncultured bacterium. RNAcentral's name for it is "bacterial SSU rRNA". It matches the Rfam family "Bacterial small subunit ribosomal RNA", at positions 356 to 896 of the family's 1533-position model. The record is from RNAcentral.